Molecule: long non-coding RNA, 468 nt
Organism: Pipra filicauda (Wire-tailed manakin)
Lineage: Eukaryota; Metazoa; Chordata; Aves; Passeriformes; Pipridae
Exons: 3
Source: RefSeq, a predicted model, not a curated record
CUUAAUAUUCAUCAGUAAGACUCGUUUUAUGUAAUCUUUGUUUUGUAGUAGCUAGUUCCUUAUGAGAGCACAAAACUGGGAAGGAGUUCCUGGGUCACCAAAUCCUAUUUCUCAAUAUCUUCAAGAGGUGCUUAAAAAGGAUAAGAAAUGAGAAUAAGUGGCUUCACAGGGAUUUGCAGACUACCUUGCAGUCUCACCUGAGGGUAGCUCACCAUGAUCAUUGCUUGUCUGACUGGAGGCUUUAGAGGAGUCAGAAGUACAGGUACUACACACAAUCCUGUUUUCGGAUUAAAUUUCCUCUUUAUAAUCUGAAUAAAGCUGCAAAUAUUUGACUUUGACCUACAGAUUGCAGUGGAAUAAAUACUAACUACUGCUUGAAGAAAAACUGUAAUAUAUCUAAAAAGACUGAGGUCCAAAUCUUCAAAGGCUUUAAAAUACCUCUAACAUUUUGAUUUGUGUUUUCAAGAA